GAUGAACGCUGGCGGCGUGCCUAAUACAUGCAAGUCGAGCGAACAGACGAGGAGCUUGCUCCUCUGACGUUAGCGGCGGACGGGUGAGUCACACGUGGAUAACCUACCUAUAAGACUGGGAUAACUUCGGGAAACCGGAGCUAAUACCGGAUAAUAUAUUGAACCGCAUGGUUCAAUAGUGAAAGACGGUUUUGCUGUCACUUCUAGAUGGAUCCGCGCCGCAUUAGCUAGUUGGUAAGGUAACGGCUUACCAAGGCAACGAUGCGUAGCCGACCUGAGAGGGUGAUCGGCCACACUGGAACUGAGACACGGUCCAGACUCCUACGGGAGGCAGCAGUAGGGAAUCUUACGCAAUGGGCGAAAGCCUGACGGAGCAACGCCGCGUGAGUGAUGAAGGUCUUCGGAUCGUAAAACUCUGUUAUUAGGGAAGAACAAAUGUGUAAGUAACUAUGCACGUCUUGACGGUACCUAAUCAGAAAGCCACGGCUAACUACGUG
RNAcentral lists this ribosomal RNA (497 nucleotides) under uncultured bacterium. RNAcentral describes it as "partial 16S ribosomal RNA". It matches the Rfam family "Bacterial small subunit ribosomal RNA", at positions 28 to 507 of the family's 1533-position model. The record is from RNAcentral.